RNAcentral lists this ribosomal RNA (253 nucleotides) under uncultured bacterium. RNAcentral describes it as "partial 16S ribosomal RNA". It matches the Rfam family "Bacterial small subunit ribosomal RNA", at positions 524 to 776 of the family's 1533-position model. The record is from RNAcentral.
UACAGAGGUCCCGAGCGUUGUUCGGAUUCACUGGGCGUAAAGGGUGCGUAGGUGGCCUGAAAAGUUUGAUGUGAAAGCUCAGGGCUUAACCCUGAAAUGGCAUUGAAUACUGUCGGGCUGGAGGUUUGGAGGGGGGACUGGAAUUCUUGGUGUAGCAGUGAAAUGCGUAGAUAUCAAGAGGAACACCAGUGGCGAAGGCGAGUCCCUGGACAGUUCCUGACGCUGAGGCGCGAAGGCCAGGGGAGCAAACGGG